RNAcentral lists this ribosomal RNA (79 nucleotides) under Russula ochroleuca. Its description in RNAcentral is "partial 28S ribosomal RNA". The stretch from base 23 to 79 matches the Rfam family "Eukaryotic large subunit ribosomal RNA", at positions 1 to 57 of the family's 3401-position model. The record is from RNAcentral. Lineage: Eukaryota; Fungi; Basidiomycota; Agaricomycetes; Russulales; Russulaceae.
UUGACCCACAAAAACAAAACCUUGACCUCAAAUCGGGUGAGACUACCCGCUGAACUUAAGCAUAUCAAUAAGCGGAGGA